This is a long non-coding RNA of Bos taurus (domestic cattle), 832 nucleotides long. Lineage: Eukaryota; Metazoa; Chordata; Mammalia; Artiodactyla; Bovidae. The record is from Ensembl.
GUCCACAUUGGAGCAGGAAGUCAGAGAUCCAGAUGGGAGGUCUCAAAAUAAAUGAACAAAACCCAAAGAAAUAGAAGUUGCCUUAUAUAUACAUAAGAACCCACAAAGGCCUAAUUGCAAACCAUCUGAAUGGACAAUUCAAAAUUCAGUGGUAAAGAUAAGACCCACAGGCUUGGCUCAGAUUAACUACUACUCUGGGCUGACUGGCUUCAGGAUCUAGAGUUGUUCUCAAGCAGCCCAAUUGGACAAAGACAGCCAAUCUCCCGGUAAAACGUACAGACUGCUGCCCUUGGCAUGUGGAUCUCUCGCUACUAGUAGAAUACAAUCUCCCACUCUACAUCAAGUGUGGCUUUUUGGACCAACAGCACAGGCAUCACCUGAGAGCUUGUGAGAAAUACAGCAUCUCAGCGUGCCUCUAACCUGCUGAAUUGGAAUCUGCCUCUUCACCAAAUACCCAGGGGAAAGACGGCAGCCCACCAGGCUCCCCUGUCCCUGGGAUUCUCCAGACAAGAACACUGGAGUGUUUGCUAUUUCCUCCUCCAAUGCAUGAAAGUGAAAAGUGAAAAUGAAGUCACUCAGUCGAUGUCCGACUCUUCACGACCCCAUGGACUGCAGCCCAUCAGGCUCCUCCGUCCAUGGGAUUUUUCCAGGCAAGAGUACUGGAGUGGGGUGCCAUCGCCUUCUCCAAAAUACUGGUCUAACAGGCCCCAAACACUUCUCUUCCCACCAAACAAGCUGCAGGCUUCCCAAGAGCCACCUGGAUUGGUUUACAAGCCAGUUUAUACUAUUGCUUCUGCUAUUAUAUUAUGAAACAUAAUUAAAUAGAUAAACC